This 1244-nucleotide ribosomal RNA is filed under the name Campylobacter jejuni. Its description in RNAcentral is "partial 23S ribosomal RNA". It matches the Rfam family "Bacterial large subunit ribosomal RNA", at positions 1540 to 2771 of the family's 2925-position model. Lineage: Bacteria; Pseudomonadati; Campylobacterota; Epsilonproteobacteria; Campylobacterales; Campylobacteraceae. The record is from RNAcentral.
AUACUCCGAGAACUGAAAGGCUUUUUGAAGUCUUCGGAUGGAUAGAAGAACCCCUGAUGCCGUCGAGCCAAGAAAAGUUUCUAAGUUUAGCUAAUGUUGCCCGUACCGUAAACCGACACAGGUGGGUGGGAUGAGUAUUCUAAGGCGCGUGGAAGAACUCUCUUUAAGGAACUCUGCAAAAUAGCACCGUAUCUUCGGUAUAAGGUGUGGUUAGCUUUGUAUUAGGAUUUACUCCGAAAGCAAGGAAACUUACAACAAAGAGUCCCUCCCGACUGUUUACCAAAAACACAGCACUCUGCUAACUCGUAAGAGGAUGUAUAGGGUGUGACGCCUGCCCGGUGCUCGAAGGUUAAUUGAUGGGGUUAGCAUUAGCGAAGCUCUUGAUCGAAGCCCGAGUAAACGGCGGCCGUAACUAUAACGGUCCUAAGGUAGCGAAAUUCCUUGUCGGUUAAAUACCGACCUGCAUGAAUGGCGUAACGAGAUGGGAGCUGUCUCAAAGAGGGAUCCAGUGAAAUUGUAGUGGAGGUGAAAAUUCCUCCUACCCGCGGCAAGACGGAGAGACCCCGUGGACCUUUACUACAGCUUGACACUGCUACUUGGAUAAGAAUGUGCAGGAUAGGUGGGAGGCUUUGAGUAUAUGACGCCAGUUGUAUAUGAGCCAUUGUUGAGAUACCACUCUUUCUUAUUUGGGUAGCUAACCAGCUUGAGUUAUCCUCAAGUGGGACAAUGUCUGGUGGGUAGUUUGACUGGGGCGGUCGCCUCCCAAAUAAUAACGGAGGCUUACAAAGGUUGGCUCAGAACGGUUGGAAAUCGUUCGUAGAGUAUAAAGGUAUAAGCCAGCUUAACUGCAAGACAUACAAGUCAAGCAGAGACGAAAGUCGGUCUUAGUGAUCCGGUGGUUCUGUGUGGAAGGGCCAUCGCUCAAAGGAUAAAAGGUACCCCGGGGAUAACAGGCUGAUCUCCCCCAAGAGCUCACAUCGACGGGGAGGUUUGGCACCUCGAUGUCGGCUCAUCGCAUCCUGGGGCUGGAGCAGGUCCCAAGGGUAUGGCUGUUCGCCAUUUAAAGCGGUACGCGAGCUGGGUUCAGAACGUCGUGAGACAGUUCGGUCCCUAUCUGCCGUGGGCGUAAGAAGAUUGAAGAGAUUUGACCCUAGUACGAGAGGACCGGGUUGAACAAACCACUGGUGUAGCUGUUGUUCUGCCAAGAGCAUCGCAGCGUAGCUAAGUUUGGAAAGGAUAAACGC